UUAAAUGCCCAGUUUUUAAUUUGUGGAAAUGGAUUUUGGGAUUAACCCUAUACUUGUGUAUCCCGGAAUUGUGACUAGGAUUACCGGCACUUGGUCAGGAGCACCCGGGGAUUUGGAAUCUCCAUAUUUGUGGGACAUCAGGAAAGGGUAAAUCUAUCUCUGAUCAACCAUGACUAUGGGAGUUGGGCGAUGUAUGUACAUGUUCGGGCCACACUAGACCAAGCGGGUUGGGGUCUACCAGCGUUGAAACUUUUGUAACUCUAUUUUUGCCGCUUAGGUCGGCUAAGGAGAAAAGACUUGUAAUAUUUUGUAAAAUGAUUUUUUUUUUGGAUCCCGAAACAUGUAACUUUUGUUUGUAAGGUUAAAAUUAUUACAAGUUUAUUUUCAUUC
Cannabis sativa is the source of this 390-nucleotide long non-coding RNA. RefSeq lists it as uncharacterized. Lineage: Eukaryota; Viridiplantae; Streptophyta; Magnoliopsida; Rosales; Cannabaceae. The transcript is spliced from 2 exons. The record is from RefSeq and is a predicted model, not a curated record.